AACGAACGCUGGCGGCAUGCCUAACACAUGCAAGUCGAACGAGAUCUUCGGGUCUAGUGGCGCACGGGUGCGUAACGCGUGGGAAUCUGCCCUUUGGUUCGGAAUAACAGUUGGAAACGACUGCUAAUACCGGAUGAUGACGAAAGUCCAAAGAUUUAUCGCCAGAGGAUGAGCCCGCGUAGGAUUAGCUAGUUGGUGUGGUAAAGGGGCACCAAGGCGACGAUCCUUAGCUGGUCUGAGAGGAUGAUCAGCCACACUGGGACUGAGACACGGCCAAGACUCCUACGGGAGGCAGCAGUGGGGAAUAUUGGACAAUGGGAGAAAACCUGAUCCAGCAAUGCCGCGUGAGUGAUGAAGGCCUUAGGGUUGUAAAGCUCUUUUACCCGGGAUGAUAAUGACAGUACCGGGAGAAUAAGCUCCGGCUAACUCCGUGCCAGCCGCCGCCGUAA
Molecule: ribosomal RNA, 449 nt
Filed under: uncultured bacterium
Lineage: Bacteria
Description: partial 16S ribosomal RNA
Rfam family: Bacterial small subunit ribosomal RNA
Source: RNAcentral